GAUGAAGAACGUAGCGAAAUGCGAUAAGUAAUGUGAAUUGCAGAAUUCAGUGAAUCAUCGAAUCUUUGAACGCACAUUGCGCCCCUUGGUAUUCCGAGGGGCAUGCCUAUUCGAGCGUCAUUAUCACCCCUCAAGCCUAGCUUGGUGUUGAGGCCUGCUGUCAAGGCAGCCUCUAAAAUCAGUGGCAGUGCUGUCAGGCUCUAAGCGUAGUAAAUCUAAUCGCUAUAGACACCUGGUGGACACUCGCCAGAACCCCCCCAUUUUUUAAUGAUUGACCUCGGAUUUGGUAGGGAUACCCGCUGAACUUAAGCAUAUCAAUAAGCGGAGGA
Molecule: unclassified non-coding RNA, 329 nt
Filed under: soil metagenome
Description: partial contains 5.8S ribosomal RNA, internal transcribed spacer 2, and large subunit ribosomal RNA
Rfam family: 5.8S ribosomal RNA (bases 1-120)
Source: RNAcentral